This 2930-nucleotide ribosomal RNA is filed under the name Escherichia coli. Its description in RNAcentral is "23S ribosomal RNA". It matches the Rfam family "Bacterial large subunit ribosomal RNA". The record is from RNAcentral. Lineage: Bacteria; Pseudomonadati; Pseudomonadota; Gammaproteobacteria; Enterobacterales; Enterobacteriaceae.
GGGUUGUGAGGUUAAGCGACUAAGCGUACACGGUGGAUGCCCUGGCAGUCAGAGGCGAUGAAGGACGUGCUAAUCUGCGAUAAGCGUCGGUAAGGUGAUAUGAACCGUUAUAACCGGCGAUUUCCGAAUGGGGAAACCCAGUGUGUUUCGACACACUAUCAUUAACUGAAUCCAUAGGUUAAUGAGGCGAACCGGGGGAACUGAAACAUCUAAGUACCCCGAGGAAAAGAAAUCAACCGAGAUUCCCCCAGUAGCGGCGAGCGAACGGGGAGCAGCCCAGAGCCUGAAUCAGUGUGUGUGUUAGUGGAAGCGUCUGGAAAGGCGCGCGAUACAGGGUGACAGCCCCGUACACAAAAAUGCACAUACUGUGAGCUCGAUGAGUAGGGCGGGACACGUGGUAUCCUGUCUGAAUAUGGGGGGACCAUCCUCCAAGGCUAAAUACUCCUGACUGACCGAUAGUGAACCAGUACCGUGAGGGAAAGGCGAAAAGAACCCCGGCGAGGGGAGUGAAAAAGAACCUGAAACCGUGUACGUACAAGCAGUGGGAGCACGCUUAGGCGUGUGACUGCGUACCUUUUGUAUAAUGGGUCAGCGACUUAUAUUCUGUAGCAAGGUUAACCGAAUAGGGGAGCCGAAGGGAAACCGAGUCUUAACUGGGCGUUAAGUUGCAGGGUAUAGACCCGAAACCCGGUGAUCUAGCCAUGGGCAGGUUGAAGGUUGGGUAACACUAACUGGAGGACCGAACCGACUAAUGUUGAAAAAUUAGCGGAUGACUUGUGGCUGGGGGUGAAAGGCCAAUCAAACCGGGAGAUAGCUGGUUCUCCCCGAAAGCUAUUUAGGUAGCGCCUCGUGAAUUCAUCUCCGGGGGUAGAGCACUGUUUCGGCAAGGGGGUCAUCCCGACUUACCAACCCGAUGCAAACUGCGAAUACCGGAGAAUGUUAUCACGGGAGACACACGGCGGGUGCUAACGUCCGUCGUGAAGAGGGAAACAACCCAGACCGCCAGCUAAGGUCCCAAAGUCAUGGUUAAGUGGGAAACGAUGUGGGAAGGCCCAGACAGCCAGGAUGUUGGCUUAGAAGCAGCCAUCAUUUAAAGAAAGCGUAAUAGCUCACUGGUCGAGUCGGCCUGCGCGGAAGAUGUAACGGGGCUAAACCAUGCACCGAAGCUGCGGCAGCGACGCUUAUGCGUUGUUGGGUAGGGGAGCGUUCUGUAAGCCUGCGAAGGUGUGCUGUGAGGCAUGCUGGAGGUAUCAGAAGUGCGAAUGCUGACAUAAGUAACGAUAAAGCGGGUGAAAAGCCCGCUCGCCGGAAGACCAAGGGUUCCUGUCCAACGUUAAUCGGGGCAGGGUGAGUCGACCCCUAAGGCGAGGCCGAAAGGCGUAGUCGAUGGGAAACAGGUUAAUAUUCCUGUACUUGGUGUUACUGCGAAGGGGGGACGGAGAAGGCUAUGUUGGCCGGGCGACGGUUGUCCCGGUUUAAGCGUGUAGGCUGGUUUUCCAGGCAAAUCCGGAAAAUCAAGGCUGAGGCGUGAUGACGAGGCACUACGGUGCUGAAGCAACAAAUGCCCUGCUUCCAGGAAAAGCCUCUAAGCAUCAGGUAACAUCAAAUCGUACCCCAAACCGACACAGGUGGUCAGGUAGAGAAUACCAAGGCGCUUGAGAGAACUCGGGUGAAGGAACUAGGCAAAAUGGUGCCGUAACUUCGGGAGAAGGCACGCUGAUAUGUAGGUGAAGUCCCUCGCGGAUGGAGCUGAAAUCAGUCGAAGAUACCAGCUGGCUGCAACUGUUUAUUAAAAACACAGCACUGUGCAAACACGAAAGUGGACGUAUACGGUGUGACGCCUGCCCGGUGCCGGAAGGUUAAUUGAUGGGGUCAGCGCAAGCGAAGCUCUUGAUCGAAGCCCCGGUAAACGGCGGCCGUAACUAUAACGGUCCUAAGGUAGCGAAAUUCCUUGUCGGGUAAGUUCCGACCUGCACGAAUGGCGUAAUGAUGGCCAGGCUGUCUCCACCCGAGACUCAGUGAAAUUGAACUCGCUGUGAAGAUGCAGUGUACCCGCGGCAAGACGGAAAGACCCCGUGAACCUUUACUAUAGCUUGACACUGAACAUUGAGCCUUGAUGUGUAGGAUAGGUGGGAGGCUUUGAAGUGUGGACGCCAGUCUGCAUGGAGCCGACCUUGAAAUACCACCCUUUAAUGUUUGAUGUUCUAACGUGGACCCGUGAUCCGGGUUGCGGACAGUGUCUGGUGGGUAGUUUGACUGGGGCGGUCUCCUCCUAAAGAGUAACGGAGGAGCACGAAGGUUGGCUAAUCCUGGUCGGACAUCAGGAGGUUAGUGCAAUGGCAUAAGCCAGCUUGACUGCGAGCGUGACGGCGCGAGCAGGUGCGAAAGCAGGUCAUAGUGAUCCGGUGGUUCUGAAUGGAAGGGCCAUCGCUCAACGGAUAAAAGGUACUCCGGGGAUAACAGGCUGAUACCGCCCAAGAGUUCAUAUCGACGGCGGUGUUUGGCACCUCGAUGUCGGCUCAUCACAUCCUGGGGCUGAAGUAGGUCCCAAGGGUAUGGCUGUUCGCCAUUUAAAGUGGUACGCGAGCUGGGUUUAGAACGUCGUGAGACAGUUCGGUCCCUAUCUGCCGUGGGCGCUGGAGAACUGAGGGGGGCUGCUCCUAGUACGAGAGGACCGGAGUGGACGCAUCACUGGUGUUCGGGUUGUCAUGCCAAUGGCACUGCCCGGUAGCUAAAUGCGGAAGAGAUAAGUGCUGAAAGCAUCUAAGCACGAAACUUGCCCCGAGAUGAGUUCUCCCUGACUCCUUGAGAGUCCUGAAGGAACGUUGAAGACGACGACGUUGAUAGGCCGGGUGUGUAAGCGCAGCGAUGCGUUGAGCUAACCGGUACUAAUGAACCGUGAGGCUUAACCUUACAACGCCGAAGCUGUU